AAGCUCCCUUGACUGAUGGCCAGGCUGGCAUUUUGGGAACCUGGGCAGGAGGAGAUAAGCCAAUAUAUCUGCCUGUUGAGCCUACAGUUAAAAAUAAUUAUAGAGAACAUGGUGGUGCUUCAGAAACUGUCAGGAAUCAUUCUCCUCAGGUGACUGCCCUUCUUGGGCAAGAGCUUUGACCGCAGAAAACCCAGAAAGCUGAGACAUGGAGUUUCUUGCAGGGAUCUCUACUCUUUGUCCAAGAAGACCUAAGAUAUCAGUGGAGAGAAGGUGGCAGAACCACAGACAUCCUUAUGCAGAUGAAGCUGGGUG
Molecule: long non-coding RNA, 312 nt
Organism: Aethalodelphis obliquidens (Pacific white-sided dolphin)
Lineage: Eukaryota; Metazoa; Chordata; Mammalia; Artiodactyla; Delphinidae
Exons: 4
Source: RefSeq, a predicted model, not a curated record